This is a non-coding RNA of Pelobates cultripes (western spadefoot toad), 470 nucleotides long. The record is from the annotation of a GenBank genome assembly. NCBI's taxonomy places the organism in Eukaryota, Metazoa, Chordata, Amphibia, Anura, Pelobatidae.
GAUAGCUGAGAGAGUAUACACGUUUGCAACUAUAUACGUACCCAACUCAAAACAAGCACAAUUUCCCUGGGGGACGCUAGAUAAGCUACACACAGCUAGUCAAAAUCUACGGGGAACUAAUGGAGGCCAGGCGACAACUGAAGAACCUCCUCAUGCAGAGAUACCUCUGCUCGCUUCAGAGAUCUAAAAAUGUUUUCUAUACUCAUGCGAACAAAGGAGGGAAGCUCCUCGCCCGCCUGUUAAAAGGCGACACGCCGCGCACACAGGUCCGAAAAAUUCGCCUAUCAUCGGGCAGAACAUCCCAGUACCCAGAAGAGAUAGCCGGAGAAUUCCAAAACUACUACAACUCCCUCUACAACCUUCGCUCACCAGAGAACCCAACUCAAAGACGAGACUCAUCAGAGCACAUACAGGCCUACCUACAGGAUAAUGUGCGGACACGAGUAAAUCCAGAGGCUGCAUCCAUGCUC